UGAGCGGCAAAAGCUCAAAUUUGAAAUCUAGCACCUUCGGUGUUCGAGUUGUAAUUUGAAGAUGGUAACCUUGGGUUUGGCUCUUGUCUAUGUUCCUUGGAACAGGACGUCAUAGAGGGUGAGAAUCCCGUCUGAUGAGAUGCCCAUUCCUAUGUAAGGUGCUAUCGAAGAGUCGAGUUGUUUGGGAAUGCAGCUCUAAGUGGGUGGUAAAUUCCAUCUAAAGCUAAAUAUUGGCGAGAGACCGAUAGCGAACAAGUACAGUGAUGGAAAGAUGAAAAGAACUUUGAAAAGAGAGUGAAAAAGUACGUGAAAUUGUUGAAAGGGAAGGGCAUUAGAUCAGACUUGGUGUUUUACGAUUAUCUUCUCUUCUUGAGUUGUGCACUCGUAUUUCACUGGGCCAGCAUCGAUUCGGAUGGCAAGAUAAUGGCAGUUGAAUGUGGCUUCACUUCGGUGGAGUGUUAUAGCUUCUGCUGAUAUUGCCUGUCUGGAUCGAGGGCUGCGUCUUUUGACUAGGAUGCUGGCGUAAUGAUCUAAUGCC
RNAcentral lists this ribosomal RNA (538 nucleotides) under Hansenula anomala. RNAcentral describes it as "eukaryotic LSU rRNA". It matches the Rfam family "Eukaryotic large subunit ribosomal RNA", at positions 95 to 646 of the family's 3401-position model. The record is from RNAcentral. Lineage: Eukaryota; Fungi; Ascomycota; Saccharomycetes; Phaffomycetales; Wickerhamomycetaceae.